RNAcentral lists this ribosomal RNA (1173 nucleotides) under Triticum aestivum (bread wheat). RNAcentral's name for it is "partial small subunit ribosomal RNA". The record is from RNAcentral. Lineage: Eukaryota; Viridiplantae; Streptophyta; Magnoliopsida; Poales; Poaceae.
AUGGCGUCAUGCCAAGAAAGAAAGCGGGCUGAGAGAGAGGGCAGGAAGAAAGUUGCACAAGCUUUCAAGGAAGGAGCUAUUUGGAGGUUGAAAUUACGUAUUCUUACUUGGUUAAUGUGGAUUUUGCUAUGCGCUGAGUGGAUAUCAACAAACCGGGUACAUGAUGGUCUGCGCAUGGCAAUUCUAGCAGCCCCAUGGACAAUCGGUAUUCUCUAUUGCUCUACGGAUUGGGUCCGAGAUGUUUGCUGGGUUCUUAUGCUGUACAUUUGGCCUCAAUGGAUGCUGAACCUAAUACCCGGAGAGAGAUCAGUGAGACAGUAUAUAAACAAGUAUGGAGUUGUUGGUACGCGCCCAAUUGAGGGUGGUGGUUCAGCGGUCGUCUGCACCAAGUAUGGUAAUCUGUGGUCAGGGUUUAUUAAGGUGAUAACUGAUGCUCAUAAUCGGCACCAAAGUUGGGGCGGGCAAUUCACUAUGGAGGAUCUAAGGAUGAGUGGACACCGCUGCCGCAUUAAGCGUGAACCCAUGUGUGAUGGAAGUUUUGCCAAUCUGCUAUUAGAUCUGUCCACGUUGGCUAGGCUAUUGCUGGUAGAUGAAUUCAGAGAUUCCCAAGGAUAUCCAAUUAGUUAUAUCCAGGAACUGUACAACUUGAUGGUCUCCCCUACAGUUGGUUCAUGUCCUUCAAAGGCAAAGAAGGAAAAGUUCCUUAAAUUCCUGCACAACCAUCCAGCAGUCAAGUCACCAAGAGCAGUCACGAUCCUCAUAAGUGCAGUCUUCCAAGCCUAUAAAUCAAUGGGUCAAAUAGAGAAACAGAAAGUUGAUGACCUUGUGGCUAAGAUCAAGCUUACUACUAAGGAUUGGAGGGUAGAUGCUGCGUUGAACUCGUUACUUAACAAGGUGUUGCUAUUCAAGUACAACGACCCCAAUAACACUCUGACCAGUUAUGCUCCCAGUUCGUGUGACCUUUUUAGGUUCUUACGGAACUUCCAGCAGCACGGCGGGGAUGCCAAUCAGGGUGAUAAAAAACAAAACAUCUCUAACCUUGAGGAACUGGAGUAUAUUGCUUCAUACAGAUUUCCAACUUUCGUAUCUACGCUUAUUGAAGAUCUUGUUAUGGUGUUGGAUAUGCAGGGGAUGUUACAAUAUGCUUGGGAGAACUACACGUGUUCAGCUUAG